AAAUAACCCAGGAUCAGCAAAAUUUAUGCAAAACAUCCUGCUAGAAGAAGAAAUGUAAACUAAAACCACUUACAGCGAGACUCGGGCUGCCAACUUAAUCUGAUUCUACGACGACUGUAAACACGUUGUACUUUUGGAACCUGAAGCGAUCCAUAUUAGCAGAUGUCAUCACAGCACAGAGUUUCAGGUCCUACCAGUUGGACACCAGAAGUUCAUAGAACUGACCCAGUGCCAAGAACAACAAGCCCAGAAAGCGAAACGGCUGCCUCGUGCGCCGUGUUUUCGUUAACUGUUUAUGCAAGCCCCAGACCAAUCGGGUAACAAUUAAGAAGACAACCGAACUUAAAUAACAAAAGCAGAAGAUUACCACCUUGAAGGAAAUGGAGAUGUUUGGCAGAUAAAGGACAGUUCAAAGGUGGGGUGGGUGGGGGGUUUUCAGAGAG
This 443-nucleotide long non-coding RNA is filed under the name Bos taurus (domestic cattle). RNAcentral's name for it is "long non-coding RNA NONBTAT019572". Lineage: Eukaryota; Metazoa; Chordata; Mammalia; Artiodactyla; Bovidae. The record is from RNAcentral.